Long non-coding RNA from Epinephelus fuscoguttatus (brown-marbled grouper), 598 nucleotides. RefSeq lists it as uncharacterized. The transcript has 3 exons. The record is from RefSeq and is a predicted model, not a curated record. NCBI's taxonomy places the organism in Eukaryota, Metazoa, Chordata, Actinopteri, Perciformes, Serranidae.
AACUUGUAUGUAAAAUAAUUUCUCAGGAAAUUGUUUGUGUUCCUUUAAAACACAAAUACAAAUCAAUAAUUACAACUGCUCGAAUCUUCCCCACGAGUCACACAUCCUGUUUCCCUCAACUACAAAUCACAAAUCUGUGCAUUCAGUCUAUGGAGAAAAAGGCGGGUGCUGAUCUUAGAUCGACUGAUUCCACAACCAGUCAAAGGAGAGGGGCUUUUGUCUGCAUGGCGGAGUAAGAAGUCACGUCAAGGGGAAGGGGGCGGGGUUAUUGAGCCACUCAGCCGCUGCAGUGCUGGAAAGCGUAACGCUGCCGCAAACGGGCCCCGAGUUAUCUGCCAUUGAAUAAGACAGUGCUAACUAUGAGCUAACGUCACUACUCCACUGCGGCUCACCAACACCAUCCAGCAGCUCAGGUCAAAGCCACCAGACCAGACCAGGGAAGAGGAAGAGAGACAGCAACACAGAGCUGCUUGAAUACCUGGAGAGGGCAGAUGAGAGGUUCUCACAGCACAGCAAGGACCUGAAUGAUGCCCUGCUGCAGAAGCUGGAGACUGACACCAGUGCGUUUCUUGGACUGAUGGGGUGCAUGGUGUCUGUG